UGCACACCUAAGGGUGCCCGCAUCCAUCCUCCUGGGCCCGGCGCACAGGUCUGUGCCAGCCCCCACGGAGCCCCGCAGCGCGCGCGCACACACACACACACACACACACACACACACACGCUGAUCUCGAAGGAUGCGCUUGGCCAGCUCUCGGGGCCCACUGCCUGCCUCCCCGACGCGGGGGCAGAUGCAUCCCGUUCUCCUGAAGUUAAAAUACAGCGCGAACUCUAUAAUGUUAGAGACGGAGAUGACUGUCAAUUAUCCAAGAAAAAAAAACAUUUUUAAAACAUAUAUAUAUUAUUUUUUAAUACUCAUUAAUGGGCUGCUGGGGGUUGUUUGUUUAUCCCCUAAAGCUGCCCCCCCCUUGUUCAGUGUUCAUCUUAUACCACAGUACAGAACGGUCCCCUGCGGCUUCCCGCUAAUGGAUGACCCGAGAGUGACACCGCCACAACCUGCGAGAAAAGGAGAGCCCCUUCCCCGCCCCGAGGGCCGAAUGUUGUGCUCUUCAGCUCUACUUCUCAAAGCAAGAAAAAGAACUUCUCAAACAAAUCUGUGAGAAACAGCAGAAAUUGUGCUCUUCCCACAACGUGAGGCCCUCAAAUAGAGAACAGUGGUCUUCACCUGGGAAGCAUCCUGGGAGCACCUGGGAACUCAAUGGUGGCAACAGAUGGAGAUUCUGGAAGGGGAAAUCGAGGUUUGAAACUUUUGGACCUCUCUUGACUGCAACGUGAGUUCCUUUUGACACUGAUGUGGGAGGAAGGGAAUUUAGAUUGCUAGCCUCUCAACCUAUCCCUCAUUACCAGAAUUAGAAAAAUUUCCCAAUUUUUGGUGCUGAGAUUCCCAGAAACUCUUAAAAGGUUUCUUUCAGUGAGAGAGUCCUAAAAUAACAGCCUGUUUUUCAGAUUCCAAGUGGAGAGUAUUUCUAACAUGCAUAGGUAGCUUUGACAAUGUCCUCUGUGAAAAACUAAGUUAAUGGUUGUUUUUAUGGUUAUUUCUUAUUGAAAUUUAUAUUAAAAUUUGUCUAAAAGGUUUUUGUUUUUUCACUCAGUUAUGCUUUAAUAUAUCGCUUUUUAUUUAACUUUUUGUGGAAUUAAAUAUAUGAUAUUCAUCUCUGAAAGUUAAAAAAAGGAGGUAAAUAUCACCCUAGAGCACAUGAUUUAUUUAUUUUAAAAUUUUUAUUGAUCUUUGUCAUGAUUCUUUUUAAUAGCACACCUGAAUUAAUCUUGGCUGGGAAAAUUCAUUUACAAUUUUAUAAUAAACGCCCCAUUAAAAAAGUGCUUUUUUUUUUUUUUUCCCUCAC
Molecule: long non-coding RNA, 1300 nt
Filed under: Canis lupus familiaris (dog)
Lineage: Eukaryota; Metazoa; Chordata; Mammalia; Carnivora; Canidae
Description: lncRNA (ENSCAFG00845023476.1)
Source: RNAcentral